Molecule: ribosomal RNA, 253 nt
Filed under: uncultured bacterium
Lineage: Bacteria
Description: partial 16S ribosomal RNA
Rfam family: Bacterial small subunit ribosomal RNA
Source: RNAcentral
UACGUAGGGCGCAAGCGUUAUCCGGGAUUAUUGGGCGUAAAGAGCUCGUAGGCGGUUUGUCGCGUCUGCCGUGAAAGUCCGGGGCUUAACUCCGGAUCUGCGGUGGGUACGGGCAGACUAGAGUGCAGUAGGGGAGACUGGAAUUCCUGGUGUAGCGGUGAAAUGCGCAGAUAUCAGGAGGAACACCGAUGGCGAAGGCAGGUCUCUGGGCUGUAACUGACGCUGAGGAGCGAAAGCAUGGGGAGCGAACAGG